Molecule: long non-coding RNA, 1005 nt
Organism: Gavialis gangeticus (Gharial)
Lineage: Eukaryota; Metazoa; Chordata; Crocodylia; Gavialidae
Exons: 4
Source: RefSeq, a predicted model, not a curated record
CAGAGCUGUGCCUGGACGACACGUGGAUCUGAAUCCCACCAGGUACCAGGCUGGCUGGGACAGGCGCUUGUGUACCAAAGGGCCGCCUGCUCACUGAGCAUCUUUGCCCUUGCUGUAGGUGCUGCCACAUCUUACCACCAACGGCCCACAGACUGACUUCUGCACUAGCCUUGGCACAAUAGCCUGUGACCGUUCCAGAGAAGUUCUGGGGCAGGAGCCUGGCUGACUGAUCAAUCCAUAGUCAUUCAAAAAUUGCUGUAGUGGGGACAGAAAAGAGGAUGGGCUAGUUUGAGCACCAUGGCACUAUAAAAGGCUGGGAACCUGGAGGAUACACUGCCAACAGUGGAGGUGGAAGUAGGUGCUUCCCAGUGGGAGUGUUUGACCUUGUAACAGACAUCCUGAUGGAGCAAGAACAGUGGCAUAGAGUGUGCAAAGCUGUAUGAAUUCGACUGUGCGGACCAGGGAUCUUGGCAGUGUCACUGUGAGCUGCUGCGAUCAAUAUGAGUUGCUGCAAUCCAUCCUUACAGGUGAGUGAAGGGUUCCCUGUACUUGUGAGAUCUUCACAUCACAGCUGGAUGCCUUUCUGAGAGGGGGGCUUUAUUUGAACCCAAGUAACUGGGCUCACUACCAGAAUAACUGAGUGAGAUGUAAUGGCCAGUGAAGUAGAGGAGGUCAGGCAAGAUGCUCUUACCUUAAAAUCUCUGAAAUCUGUUUUUGAGCUGGCUGGGAAGCCUCCCAGGCUGCUUCAGGGAGCAAGGCAUGGUUAGGACUGCCAAACUCUUUGUUUUAUGACUGUUAAAGCAGAUGUCAAAAUGGCUUGAAAAUGUGAAAAGAGGAGUGGCCAGGGGGCUAGGAAAUGGAUUAAAGGUGUUUCCACUUGUCUUCUCUGUACCCAGGCAGGCACCAACAGUUGGCAGUAAUUUCAUUGGUGGUUUAAUAAGAACCAAAUAUCUUUGGAGUGAAAGACUAUAACACUCAAAACCUAGGAGGAGAGGGGAGAGGUCG